Molecule: non-coding RNA, 9175 nt
Organism: Callithrix jacchus (white-tufted-ear marmoset)
Lineage: Eukaryota; Metazoa; Chordata; Mammalia; Primates; Cebidae
Source: RefSeq, a predicted model, not a curated record
AGUGGGCAGGCGCCUCCAGGGGAGAAGGGCACCGCAGCCGGAAGCACAGGUCUUCGCGGUGCCACUUCCACCAAGUGAGUUCGAGGAAGUACCUGGGAUCUUUGAUAUAACGCCAAAGGCCUUUCCAGAGAGCUCUUGAAGAGCUGAGAACCCAAGCCUUCCACCUCUAGUUCACGGCUUUGCCACUCUAGGACCCGAGGUUACGUUUGCUGCUGGGGAUCUGACAAACCCAAAGCCUCUCUGGUUUCACCACUGGAUCCUUAGAAUCGGACUUCUGUACUGAAUGGCACCCAUGUAAGUCAGGGGAGUCAGGAGCUGGGGACGUGAUCAUCGAAGUAUGGUCCCCAGACUGGCUGUAUCAAUGUCAGCAUCUCCCAGGACCUGGUUGGAAAUGCAUGUUCUCGGGCUACUCCAAAACCCUUAAUAUGAGACUGGGGCUGCGGGGAGCGCCAUCUGUGCGCCACUGUCCUUGUGGGUGGACCAGGAGGCGGCUCAAGGGUGCUCCCACUUCGGGGUCACGCGCGGCGCCGGGUGCUCCUGAGACCGCCGGGCUCCUCUGUGGUCACGUGGGCUUAGGCACUACUCCCCUCUACCGUCCUCUCGGUCUUUAAAAGAAAAAAGGGGCUUAUCGUUAAGUCGCUGGUGAUCUUUUCAGUUUCUCCAGCCGCUGGCUUUUCGGAUACUCACUCCCCCGCCCGGAGGCAGCUGCGGGAAAUAACUGCCUCUUGAAACUUGCAGGGCAGAGAGCAGGCGGCGAGCGCUGGGCUGGGAAGGGACCACCCGAGCUGCGACGGGCCCCAGGGCUGGCGCUCGGAGCCGGGGCUGCACGAGGAGCGCUCGCUUUCAACAGGUGGCCGCGGGGCGCGUGCCGGGAGGCCCCUACUGCGGGAAAAGCACGUGUCCGCAUUUUAGAGACUGCAAGGCCGGUGUGUUUAUCCGCAAGUCAUUAAACUUACCCAAGAAUCUUUGACGACAUUAUAAUGCCCUUUGUGCCUCUUCUCGCGAGGUGUUAUCCUAGCUGUUAUCUCAAGACAUGGAUAUAAAAAACUCACCAUCCAGCCUUAAUUCUCCUUCUUCCUACAAUUUUGGUCAAUCCAUCUUACCCUUGGAGCACGGCCCUAUAUACAUACCUUCCUCCUAUGUAGAGAGCCACCAUGAAUAUCCGGCCAUGACAUUCUAUAGCCCUGCUGUGAUGAAUUACAGCAUUCCCAGCAGUGUUACUAACUUGGAAGAGGGGCCUGGUCGGCAGAUCACAAGCCCAAAUAUGCUGUGGUCAACACCUGGCCACCUUUCUCCUUUAGCUGUCCAUCACCAGUUAUCACAUCUGUAUGCAGAACCUCAAAAGAGUCCCUGGUGUGAAGCAAGAUCACUAGAACAUACCUUACCUGUAAGCAGAGAGACACUGAAAAGGAAAGUUAGUGGGAACCAUUGUGCCAGCCCUGUUACUGGUCCAAGUUCAAAGAGGGAUGCUCACUUCUGUGCAGUCUGCAGCGAUUACGCAUCGGGAUAUCACUAUGGAGUCUGGUCGUGUGAAGGAUGUAAGGCCUUUUUUAAAAGAAGCAUUCAAGGACAUAAUGAUUAUAUUUGUCCAGCUACAAAUCAGUGUACAAUCGAUAAAAACCGGCGCAAGAGCUGCCAGGCCUGCCGACUUCGGAAGUGCUACGAAGUGGGAAUGGUAAAGUGUGGCUCCCGGAGAGAGAGAUGUGGGUACCGCCUUGUGCGGAGACAGGGAAAUGCCGAGGAGCAGCUGCAUUGCGCCGGCAAGGCCAAGAGAAGUGGUGGUCACGUGCCCCGAGUGCGGGAGCUGCUGCUGAGCGCCCUGAGCCCCGAGCAGCUGGUGCUCACCCUCCUGGAGGCCGAACCGCCCCAUGUGCUGAUCAGCCGCCCCAGCGUGCCCUUCACUGAGGCCUCCAUGAUGAUGUCCCUGACCAAGCUGGCCGACGAGGAGUUGGUACACAUGAUCAGCUGGGCCAAGAAGAUUCCCGGCUUUGUGGAGCUCAGCCUGUUGGACCAAGUGCGGCUCUUGGAGAGCUGCUGGUUGGAGGUGUUAAUGGUGGGGCUGAUGUGGCGCUCAAUUGACCACCCCGGCAAGCUCAUCUUUGCUCCAAAUCUCAUUCUGGACAGGGAUGAGGGGAAAUGCGUAGAAGGAAUUCUGGAAGUCUUUGACAUGCUCCUGGCAACUACUUCAAGGUUUCGAGAGUUGAAACUCCAACACAAAGAGUAUCUCUGUGUCAAGGCCAUGGUCCUGCUCAAUUCCAGUAUGUACCCUCUGGUCACAGCAACCCAGGAUGCUGAGAGCAGCCAGAAGCUGGCCCACUUGCUGAAUGCCGUGACUGACGCUUUGGUCUGGGUGAUCGCUAAGAGUGGCUUCUCCUCCCAGCAGCAGUCGGUGCGCCUGGCUAACCUCCUGAUGCUCCUGUCCCACAUCAGGCAUGCGAGUAACAAGGGCAUGGAACAUCUGCUCAGCAUGAAGUGCAAAAAUGUGGUCCCAGUGUAUGACCUGCUGCUGGAGAUGAUGAAUGCCCACGUGGUUCGCGGGUGCAAGUCCUCCAUCACGGGGUCCGAGUGCAGCCCGGCAGAGGACAGUAAAAGCACAGAGGGCUCCCAGAACCCACAGUCUCCGUGACGCCUGGCCCUGAGGUGAACAGGCCCACAGAGGUCACAGGCUGAAGCGUGAACUCGAGUGUGUUGGGAGCCUGGGCUUCAUCUUUCUGCUGUCUGGUCCCUCAUUUGGUGAUGGCAGGAUUGGUCAUGUACCUUCCUUCCCCUGACCUCCCCACCUCCCAGGAGACAGGGUGAGGAAGCCAUAGUUUCCUUGUUAGCAGGGCACACACUUGAAUGCAGUGAUUUCAUACUGAACAGCGUCACAGGAUCUCGAUGUGGUCUUUCUUACACAUCUCCCUUUCUCCCCUUUGUGAAACAUCUUAAAGGUUUUGGAAUGAAUGGUGGAAAUGUGACCUGAAAGGGCUGUGAAUCAGAAAGGGGAGAGGAAGUAACACGCUUACAGGAAGUGGACUAACCCUUCUUGUGCCGCACACACUACCUUUCCCUUUGAGUUGACCUUUGUAUGCUUUUGUCUGGACCACUUGAUUGUAAGACUGAAAACCCCUGUGACAAUUGCGUACCUACCUCCCAGGCCUGUGGGGACUGAUCGUAUCGUGAUGCUUAUUCUGUCAAAGGCCAAAGGGACUGUAGCCAGGCUGGGAUGUGAGUCAUGUUCUCUCUCUGACCUUGCUGCCAGCUACACACAGAUUAAUCCCUCUUGAUGUGCAUUCACAGGGCCUGCCAAUAAUUUGUGGUAUGUGUGUAUGAGAGUGUGAUCAUUUUCAUGGAAGACUGUGGGAGAUACACAUCUCCCUGCUCCUGGAGCUGCCCUUCCUUAAACCUCUGUUGUCCCAUGGGGCCAGCAUGGGUGCUGGAGAAAGGCCGUGUUUGCAGGAAUGGGGUUCUCUCCUGUGGGUGUGGGUGACAGUCACAGUGUUUCCCUGGGGGCAUUGUGGAUGCAGUUUCCAUCCACAGUGGAAGCAGCCACCCCAAGCAGUCAGGGACACUUUGAGCUGUGGGUGUGCACAGCAUGCUGUUUUGCAGAUGGAUGAGUAGCCACGCACCCCAAUGUGUCAGCUCUGGGGCCAUACUGCAUAGCCUUGAUGAGUACACCCCUUGAACAAGACCUGGUUUGUGAACUCUCCUGAAACACAAAUAUUUAGGGAUAAUUAUUUAUAGCAAGAAAGAAUUCUUUUACACUUGAGAGCUCUUUUAAAAAAGAUUUUAUGGUGGUUUCUGGGUGAAAAAGAAACAGUAAAAAUAUUAGUUCUUAUUCCAAGAGGAACACAAAUAGGACAUGAAGAAAGGCGCCUCUGAAGUGACAGUUUUAAGUCACUUUUUUUUUUCUUUUUGAGACAGAGUUUCACUUGUUGCCCAGGCUGGAGUGCAAUGGCGCGAUCUCGGCUCCCUGCAACCUCCACCUCCAGGGUUCAACUGAUUCUCCUGCCUUGGCCUCCCAAGUAGCUGGGAUUACAGGUGCCUGCCACCAUGCCCAGCAAAUUCUAUAUUUUUAGUAGAGACAGAAUUUCUCCAUGUUUGUCAGGCUGGUCUUGAACUCCUGAACUCAGGUGAUCUGCCCACCUUGGCCUCCCAAAAAAAGUGCUGGGAUUACAGGAAUAAGCCACUGUGCCCGGCCUUAACUCACUUUUUAAAAGAUUUGAAAUUUUCAGUUUUGGAAACAGUCAAUGUGCAAAAUGAGUAACAGCAUACUUUGGAAGCAAGCAAUGAAACAAUCAUGUUUGAUUACUGCAGUAAUGUUUUAAACAAUUACCUUGUGAUAUAUUAAAUAUAUUUUCUUUUUGAAAAUAGGUUCACUUUGGCUAGUGUAUCCUGUAUUUACUAAGUCAUUAGGAAGAUUACAUUCAGUGUUAGAAAGAUUGGUUUCUGCUAGUGAGACCUUGAAUAAUCCUUAAUUUUGAUAUUGGUGCAGUUUUACUAAAAGUUGAGCUUAGCUGUUUCAGAAACGCUUGGACAAGUACCUAGAGAACAUAGUGCUGUCUGUGUUCUGAGGCAGUUUGAAGUUAUUCGUAGUGACUCAGUGUUACAGCCUUAGUAAGAUUUAGUACAGGUAGGAUUAGCUUGAUUUCAUAGAAACCAGGGAACCAGUUAGUGUCAGUUUCUUUCUUCCUGGCCAGCCUAGAAUCCCCAACUCCCAAGAGAGGGGUUUGGAAGCUGGAGAGUAGGAAGUAAGAGGCAAAGGAGGCAGCCUUUAACAACUCAUUAUCUUCCAGUGAAAUUCCACUAAACGUAUUUUUAAAGGAGAUUACCAGGUAACAAAAACAAAAAACCAAAACAAGGCCAGAUGUGGUGGCUCAUGAUUGUAAAUCCCAAUGUGCUGGGAGGCCGAGGCAGGUGAACCAUGUGAGCCCAGGAGUUUAAGUCCAGACUGGGCAACAUGGAGAAUCCCUGUCCUACAAAAAAAUGCAAAAAUUAGCCAGGCGUGAGGGCGCAGGCCUGUAGUUCCAGCUACCUGGGAGGCUGAGGUGAGAGCAUCACCUGAGCCUAGGGAGAUCAAGGCUGCAGUGAGCUGAGAUCAUAUCAAAGCACUACAGUCUGGGCAACAGAGGGAGACCCUGUCAAACACAAAAAUUACCAGCCAGGCGCAGUGGCUCAUGCCUGUAAUCCCAGCCCUUUGGGAGGCCAAGGUGGGAGGAACACAAGGUCAGGUGUUUGAGACCAGCCUGGCCAACAAGUUUAAACCCCAUUUCUACUAAAAACACAGAAAAUUAGCUGGGUGUGGUAUUGGGUGCCUGUAUUCCAGCUACUUGGGAGGCUAGAGCAGCAGAAUCACCUGAACUUGGGAGGGAGGAGGUUGCAGUGAGCCAAGAUGGUGCCAUUACACUCCAGCCUGGGCAACAAGAGUAACACUCCAUCUUAAAAAAAAAAAAAAAAAAAAAAAAAAAUUACCAGGAAAUAUAUAUAUACUUUUGGAGAGAUCUUAAGACAGAUUUCAUUCCUACUCCUGAGAGUGAAUUGGCAAUGGCAAUCCCUUUAGAGCCUUGAGAGGGCAAUCUGGCACGUGUGCCGCAGUGUUUCGGCUGUUCUCAUUGAAUCUCCCUCUGUUCUCACCUCACCCCUCUGUCUGGCCUCAGGCCUGUCCCAUACUCACUGCCCACCAGGACUGACUACAAAAGAUUUGACCCUAAAAUAGUCUUGAAGGGAUUUUUCUCAAAAAAGUAAGGUGGGAACCUGAGACAAAGCUGUCAGCCUAACAACAAAUCUGAGGACUCUUAUCUGCAUUAAAAACAAAACAGGGCAAAAUUGACGGGAGCUGUGCAGUACAAGUCUUGAUCUGGAAUACGUCUGCUAACCCAGCUGGAAGGGCAACUAUUUUAGAUUUCAGUAAGGAAGAAAAAUCAGUUACCAAUACUUGGCAGAGCCAUAUUACAAAUCCACAUAUAUUUAUAUAUAUAAGUGGAGUUGAAGCAAUUCUAGAAUUUUCUAGCUUAUGAAAACGGGGUUUGGUUCUUAUUUACAUCUGCUAAAGGACUUUUCAAAUUCAAAGUGAACCUUCUGUUUAUAGGCCUAUUUUGAAACAAAGUAUCUUGAUUUAAUACUAUUUGACACUGUUUUUUUGAGAGGGUCUCAGUUCUGGCUAGAGUGCAGUGGCACCAUCAUGGCUCACUGCAGCCUCGAACUCCUGGGCUCAAGUGAUCUUCCCACCUCAGCCCCUGCCUUCCCUAAGUAGCUGGGACUACAGGCUCAAACCACUACACCUGGCCAAUUCUUUGUAAUUUUUGUAGAGAUGGAGUCUUGCUGUGUUGCCCAGGCUGGUCUUGAACUCCUGGGCUCAAGUGAUCUGCCUGCCAAGGCUUCCCAAAGUGCUGGGAUUACAGGCAUGAGCCAUUGUGCCCAGCCCGACACGUUUUUAAGCUGCUGAAAACCUUUUAAAAAGAUAAAAACACAUUAUUUAGUACCUAAAGAUAAUAUUUGUGCCAGACAGUUCCUGGUGCCUCAGUCAUUCACAUUUAAUCCUUUUAAGAACUGUUGUUGUCCUGAUUUUCUGGUUUUGGAACUAGAGGCAGUGUAAGCAAACUUGCUCAAGGUCACAUGGGGAAUAAGCGAUGAGCUAAACACAGGCAGUCUAAGUCCAGUGCCGACAGUGACCAUGCACUUCAACCAGUUUAAAAAAAAAAUUGUUUUAAAACUGCAGAAUCUGUCCAUCAGAUGCAACCUGACAUGCAUGGCUGCUGUGAUUUAAAUGAGGCCUCCUCGUGUCACCCCCUCACCUCCUACCACAAUGUCCAGGACACCCUAGACACAGUUAGUUUGUAAACCUCUGACAGAAGUUCAACUGUACCUUUCAUAUAUGUGUAAAUUAAAGCUCACAGGGGCAAAUGCACCUAUUCAAGGUCAUUUAAAACAACUCAUGGCAAAGCUUGGACUGGCGCUCAAGUCUUCUGUUCACCUGGUGGGCCAGUAUCGCUCCUGCUCCAGGACUUGUUUCUUGAGACUCUGCUUUGUGAGCUGAGUCACAGCAGAAAGGAGGGGUAGUGAAGUUAGGGUUGCUUUCCGCCGUACCUUUAGAUCCCAUCUCCUCAGCUUAGCUGGGUCUGCAUGCACUGUUACAGAAAAGCACCAGUGACAGAUGGAAAAAUAAGAUGGUUCUGUUAUUCCCACUGUCCCAUCUCAGGUUUGUGAGCUGGUGGGUACUGCUAUCACCUCCUAUCCGUGACUGCUUUCCCUGAACACAUGCAAUAUGUUCCUUGGACAUGUACUCGUGUAAAACUAACAUCUUUUAGGCACUGAUCCUUCCCUGUGGUGUGUGGUAUACUAUAGUGUGAAAACAUAUGCCACUUAUACUUUAUAGCUCUCACACUUGCUGGAAUUUUGGUUCCAGUGGCGGCUCUUAAGAUGUGCAUUAUCCGUGAUGUAUUAUUGAAAUGCCAUUUUUGUUGCUUUGGAGUCAAUGAUUAUUUUUUUCAAUUCCAAGGAUUCUAUUGACUUGUAAGGCUGGCCACUGGUAACUGGUGGUGGGUUUCCUCUAUGGGAAGCACAUAAGGCAUGGCGAUGCCAGCUGUGAACAGUUCCUGUUAACUGGAUGGUUUUGCAUUUGUUUCCUCUGUUGGGUUUCUAAAUGCCUUAACUGUUGGUCCUAUACCUUUUAUCAUUUAAUGUGUACCUCAGAGCCUAUUGGUUGGCUAUAAUUUGCCAUUUUCUCAGAUGAAUGCUUUGUACCAUUACACUAAUUUGUUCACUUCAUUUGCAGGCUUUACAUUUGGGCCUUGUAGAAAUGAAUGUAUGCUGCUAUGUGAAAGCAGACUUUGAGACCUGCUCUCCCUUCCUCCAGGGAGUUUUUCCUUACUGUGUCCCUUCAAUGUCUAUGGCACUGUCACAGAGAUUUAACAUGAUAGUAAUAAAGUGUUUUCAUUAUUUUGGCUUUAAAAAUGUAUUUGUUGAGGGUUGAGUAUAAGAAUAUACAGUAAUUAGGCAAAGCAGUGUCUACAUUCUUUUCUGAGUUCUAUUAUUUUGGGGUUAGAGUCCUUUGAGAAUUUGAUGAAAACCAGGGCUAGUCUUCAUGGGAAAAGGCACGAGAACACAAAUGCUUGUGUACAAUUUCAGAAGAGUUAAGCUCUGCUUUAAUGUAUGGCUUCUUAAAAAGGGACAGUUUCAUCUUUAGUCAGCAAUUCUCACACUUGUGAUUGAUUUAUGACCACAGGUUCCGCGUAUACAAGUAAAACACAGCCCACAAAAGUCCUGGUAUCUAGUGCAUCAAUUAUUUGGAUAGAUUUUCUAUCAUUCCAUCUGAGUUCAAUUAGAAUUAUAUCCUCUGUAGAUGGGGAGAAAAGCCACUCAUUCAUUUUGAAGUUAUCUUAGUGCCAACAGUCAUGUGAAAAUGUUCUUUGCAUGUGGGCAAUGAAAGAUGUGCAGACAAUGUAACACCCAGACUACCUCAUAAAACAGUUCUGGGAAUACACUGAGCUUUGAGUGAAGAAGCUGCAGGGGCCUCCCCGGCGAUGGGGGCAAACCAGCUUAAAGGCCUUUGUCCUUUGGAAGGGACAAGAAUUGACAUACAAUAUUGGGCUUUGAAAUGAAGACCACACUGUUCCUUUUACUGCAACUCUGACUUGUCCCGCAUCUCUACUUAAGGGCAGAAAAGGCCUCUCACUCACUCACCUCCUUUGGAAUGGAAGAUGGAGAUUGACUCUUGCCUGAAGCAACGAUGGAGCAGUGACCCUCUAAUCAACUCGGUGGCCUAAAGAAAAAGUUUGGGUAACAUUUUCACUUCAGUUUCCCUCUGGAAUCACUGAAGUUAUGUGGUUAAAAAACAUCUUCCUUUUUAGAUCGGUCCAGCAAUUUAAUAACUGUAAACACUGAAGGUAAAGUGAAGACAGAUUCUCUUCAGGUGGUCUCCUUAACUGCCCAGGCCUUGUGGAUGUCUCACCCAUGAGGGGCACCAAUGUGGAAAGCUGAGGCUUCCUCUACUGAUGAGUGAGUUCCACUGUUUUCCCCUGAGGUUUGUGCUUUGCUGAGAAGGGGAGGAGGGGACUGGGAUGGUGUGGUCAGCGGUGCCUGCCAAGACAUGCAGGUUAGGAACUGGGUUCAGUAUCUUCUCAAGAAAGGGGAAAUGCUCACGCAUAUCCUCUGUUUAGGUAGAAAGUAAACAAUGUUACUGGACUUAAAUGGGCAA